GGUCAUGUAGCUCAGUUGGUUAGAGUGUUGGUCUGAUAUACCCAAGGUCAUGGGUUCAAGCCCCAUCGGGACCA
RNAcentral lists this transfer RNA (74 nucleotides) under Triticum aestivum (bread wheat). It matches the Rfam family "tRNA". Rfam says of the family: Transfer RNA (tRNA) molecules are approximately 80 nucleotides in length. Their secondary structure includes four short double-helical elements and three loops (D, anti-codon, and T loops). Further hydrogen bonds mediate the characteristic L-shaped molecular structure. tRNAs have two regions of fundamental functional importance: the anti-codon, which is responsible for specific mRNA codon recognition, and the 3' end, to which the tRNAs corresponding amino acid is attached (by aminoacyl-tRNA synthetases). tRNAs cope with the degeneracy of the genetic code in two manners: having more than one tRNA (with a specific anti-codon) for a particular amino acid; and 'wobble' base-pairing, i.e. permitting non-standard base-pairing at the 3rd anti-codon position. The record is from Rfam by way of RNAcentral. RNAcentral also lists the same sequence under 1 other name. Lineage: Eukaryota; Viridiplantae; Streptophyta; Magnoliopsida; Poales; Poaceae.